Molecule: long non-coding RNA, 208 nt
Filed under: Sus scrofa (pig)
Lineage: Eukaryota; Metazoa; Chordata; Mammalia; Artiodactyla; Suidae
Description: lncRNA (ENSSSCG00070019471.1)
Source: RNAcentral
UUCUAAAUAUUACUGACCCUUGGAUUUGUGCCCAGCUUUGAAACCUGCUUCUGUCUCUUUAGACUUGUUGCCUAAUUGUGAUUUCCCUGACACUUCUCAUCUCUUCUCGGAGGACAUUGUUUGACUCAUCUCUGUAGAUCUUCUUUGUGGAUGGCUGAGAUCAAGCUUGUUCAGCCUACUCAGUCUGACUCCUGCCUUGACCAGGUUG